Long non-coding RNA from Astyanax mexicanus (Mexican tetra), 942 nucleotides. RefSeq lists it as uncharacterized. Lineage: Eukaryota; Metazoa; Chordata; Actinopteri; Characiformes; Acestrorhamphidae. The transcript is spliced from 2 exons. The record is from RefSeq and is a predicted model, not a curated record.
CCUGAGAGAUAAGAUACUUUCCAGCCAUCAGAGAACAUCCCGUCCCGAAACGUCUCCCUCAUAUCUCCCUCUCACUAGACCUCUGACGGCCGAAACAUGAGAUAGCGCAUCAUCUGCCCUCAGGAAGGAGACUUUGCCAUUCAGUGGAGUGGGCCCCAUCCCCAGCCCUGGCCCUGGAUCCAACCAAUCACUCACCAGCAUGGCACGGGCCUGCCCGUUAGCAGCAGGCCAACAUUGUUUACAAUGAGUUUUGUGUUUUGUGCAGAGCUCAUAUCCGGGAGGUGCAGGUGCUAGAGGAGGCUCCAGCCCAACAGAAGAAGCAGGAGGAGGAGGAGGAGGAGGAGGAAGAAGAAGAGGAGGAGGAGGCUGAAAGUGGUGAACGCUGGUGGAGAAAACAGUUACUCUGUCUUCCUUAAACAUCUUCAAGGUCUCUGGAGAGGAAUAAAUUCCCAAGAGAGACAGUUUCCUGCAAGGAGAUGGCCCCAGCGAUGGAACAGUUCUUCCCGAGUUCACCUGGCACCGUGCCCUCAUGCUCGCUGUUCCUUUUUCCUAUGCAUAUAACUCUUUGAGAAGUAGCAUUAAAGAGGCAUAGGGCAUGGGAAAAUGGGGCUGCAGAGGUAUUCCACUGAAGCUUUCCCACACCACCACAUCCACCACCAACGCCGCCGCCUCUCCAACAAAGCAGCGGCUGUAUAAACUGUGUUUACACGUCUCCAGUGCUUUCAUGCUCUGCCACUCUUCCCAAAGGAUUAAACACUAUUAGAUGCAGUUUAUUACUGUUAUCAGUUUAAUUGGUUUAGUUUGUAAUAUGGAUGGAUUUUUCUGAGAGUAAGCUGUGAUGGUGUGAUCUUGUGAAGUGAAGAGUGAAUUGAAAUGUGAAUCUAAACUGUGUAAUCUACUGUCUGCUGUGAUUUAAUAAAGACACUGACUGAACUGAAAACA